CACCACCGACACCGGCAGCAGCGCCGCCACGAGCUGGUCAAGCUGCGCCGCACAGCCGACUCGGUGGAGAAGAAGCGCGCCUUCUACCAGGAGCGGGCGGCCUACUUCAGCCAGUACCUGAACACGUGUUAGCAGGCAAUGGCGGCCGGCCAGUGCAGUGUGUACCAAGCGGGCGGCCGCGCCGCGCCGCUACUCGGCCGCCCGGCUCAAGGAGAAGGGCGUGCUAGGCAUCGAGGGCAUGCAACCGGCAGAGCUUGAGGGGGUGCAGUUCGCGAUCUCGCCGCUGGCAGCCGAGGGCACGUUCCAGGUGAACGCCAAACUGCUCGGCGUGCAGCUGGAGUGGGAGGAGAUCAGCCGACAGGAGCUGCUGCAGCUGCAGUACGGCGGCGUCUCCGUCAUGGACAUGUUCGGCGGGGUGAGGAUCAACGUCAACCUGAUCAUCUUCCUCCGGUAACAGCAAGUUCUACGGCAAGAACAAGAAGUGAGGCGCGGCGCCGGAGGGCCGGCGUGUGCCGCGACACCAGGUCGGGUCUGUGGGCCCUACGUGCCUGUGUCACACGCCGUGACGUCAGACUCGGAGCCGCCGUCACACGCUGCCCACGGGGGUUCGAACCUCCGCCGUGGCCACCAGCGCCUUACCCCAGGUUCGUUCCACUGAAAGCCCAGGGAAAGCGCCAGAAGCACAUUGCCGGGACGGAUGCCGCACGGGAACAAAUCCCAAGCAAAGGCCCCAGAAGCCGAGCCGCCGACUGCCACCACACCGCCGCCACCGCUGCCACAGCCACGCCGGGGGAGCGCCGUGCGACGCUGCGUCGGACACCAAACGAGCCCAACCAAAUUGCCGGGCCGAGGUUCCGCCGGGCAGGGCCGCCGCGGAGAUGAAGUAGAGGUAGCCGCCGCGGAGACGAGAAAUGAGAAGAGAAGAAGUAGAGGUAGCCGCCGCGGAGACCAGAAAUGAGAAGAGAAGAAGUAGAGGUAGCCGCCGCGGAGACGAGAAAUGAGAAGAGAAGAAGUAGAGGUAGCUGCCGCGGAGGCGCACGCAAGCCGCGGAGGCACGUGCCACGCCGCGGAGGCGCACGCAUGACGCAGGCCGCGGAGGCACGUGCGACGCCGCGGAGGCGCACGCAAGCCGCGGAGGCACGUGUAACGCCGCGGAGGCGCACGCAAGCCGCGGAGGCGCACGCACAGCCGCGGAGGCAAGUGCGAAGCCGCGGAGGCGCACGGAAAGCCGCGGAGGCAAGUGCGAAGCCGCGGAGGCGCACGGAAAGCCGCGGAGGCAAGUGCGAAGCCGCGGAGGCGCACAGAAAGCCGCGGAGGCAUGUGCAACGCCGCGGAGGCAUAUGCCACGCCGCGGAGGCACGCACACGAAGCCGCGGAGGCAAGUGCAAAGCCGCGGAGGCGCACGCAAAGCCGCGGAGGCAAGUGCGAAGCCGCGGAGGCGCACGGAAAGCCGCGGAGGCAAGUGCGACGCCGCGGAGGCGCACGGAAAGCCGCGGAGGCAUGUGCAACGCCGCGGAGGCACCCACGAAGCCGCGGAGGCAAGUGCGAAACCGGGGAGGCGCACGCAAAGCCGCGGAGGCAUGUACAACGCCGCGGAGGCAUGUGCGACGCCGCGGAGGCGCACAUGUAGCCGCGAAGCACGCACCGCGCGAAGGCGCGCCUAUCGCCGUCAAAGAUAAAAGAAGAGAAGAGAAGAGAAGAGAAGAGAAGAAAAGAGAACAGAAGUAGCAGUAGAAGAAGAAGUAGAAGUAGCCGCCGCGGAAACCGCGCAUGCUGGGGAGGCACGCGUGACACCCCGAAGGCGCGCCGCCUCGAGGGCGCACACAGCCGCGGGAGGAAAAUGGACACAAACGCCCCUCUCUCGGAAAGUAAGGGAAUUUUUUCCCCCUGCCGGAGAGGGGGGUAUUAUGUAGGGGAGCGGGUGAGCGGCCGAACCAGCUUGGAGAUUAGUUUGAGUCAGUGUCCGUUUUAGUUACCUUGGUUUUGUUAAAAUUGUACGCGUGGGAUAUUUAGGCAGGGGUCUGAAAGGAGGCCAGCGCGGCGGGAACCGCACGGGCACAUCGGCCGCCAUCUAUGGCCUCGAGGCGGCUGAUGUGGGCGUGGCCUACUCGGGCGAGGGACGAGACGAAAGCAGGGGAGAGGAGAUCGGGGCUCUUGGUGUCUGAAUGCCGUCCGGUACGGACAUCGAGCCCCCGACUGCUCUCUGCUGCUGGCUCACCUGGCUCGAGGUAGGUUCCUGUCACGCAGGGAUUGAUGCUGGGCUCAAAGCACAUCCCAUAGUUAGGAUAGGAGCACCGGGGUGGAGGUUCGUAGGUAGUUUCGCGCGUCGGUAACCGUUAGGGUAGUGAUAGGGUAGAAACUCGCGGAAACGGAAAUAAUCGGUCGUCUCGGAUCCAAUUCAAUGCGCAGUCCUUUAUGAUGUUCGGUUUUACAAUAAAUGGGGUUUGAAUUGA
Molecule: long non-coding RNA, 2453 nt
Filed under: Amphibalanus amphitrite
Lineage: Eukaryota; Metazoa; Arthropoda; Thecostraca; Balanomorpha; Balanidae
Description: uncharacterized LOC122389396
Source: RNAcentral